UUCAAAAAUUUAUCGAUUUUUGUCAAAAAAUAAUCGAAAUACCGACAAUCGAAACAUAUGUUUUUAUCCAAAAAGUAAACAAAACAAUUGUUUGCCGCUUCAUUAAAAGUUGAAAAAAAUUAUGGAUACGUGUUUUUUUGUAUUAUCCUCUUCGGAAGAUGAGGACGGUAAUAAUAUAAAUAUAAUAAGAAGACAAAUUCGAGAACGUAGUGACCCCUUAUCAUUGUCAGAAAAUGCAUUCCGUCAACGAUUUAGACAGACAAAAGAUGCUUUUCGAUAUGUGUAUCUAGACUAGAUUUCUCCGGACAUAUGUCAUCGUCCAUUCCGGCAGUUCUACAAUUGGCAUCAACUUUGUCACUCUUGGAAGAAGUGGAAGUUUUCAGCACACUGUGGGUAAUGAUUUUCUUAUAGGAAUGAGCCAAAGCGCAACCUGCAGGGUUGCCCAGCGAGUCGCAAAAGAAAUGGAACUAAAACUUUGUCCAGAACACAUCAACUUUUCACCAGACCAGUCGGCUUUGUGUAUGGAACAUUUCUGUACAAAGUUUCGGAUUCCUGGAGAUGGAACACAUUUCGGAUUGCAGAAACCCACCGAAAACGAACACAUGUUCUUCAACCGAAAGGGAUACCAUAAUUUGGUUGUCAACUGC
Musca domestica (house fly) is the source of this 647-nucleotide long non-coding RNA. RefSeq lists it as uncharacterized. The transcript has 3 exons. Lineage: Eukaryota; Metazoa; Arthropoda; Insecta; Diptera; Muscidae. The record is from RefSeq and is a predicted model, not a curated record.